GAGAAGUGUCACCACACCGCACAG
This 24-nucleotide microRNA is filed under the name Ananas comosus (pineapple). RNAcentral's name for it is "microRNA s0299_c101". Lineage: Eukaryota; Viridiplantae; Streptophyta; Magnoliopsida; Poales; Bromeliaceae. The record is from RNAcentral.